AGAGGUUUUGAUCUCUCUGAACUUCAAAGCCCUGUGGUUUGAGCCCACACAGGAUGUACUCGCUAGACUCUCUCUGUCGCUGGGGGGGCAGGUACCAAACGUGUAUUCCCUCCCAGAGCCAAUAAUAUCAGGGACCACUUCCUGCGCGUGGAUUUUUUUUUUCACUCUAAUGUAAACUUCCUGUUGAGGUCUUCAGCAAUUUCCUCUUGUGCAGUUCUCGGGGGAGACGGCCAUCGGUUCGUCAUGACCCUCUGAACAGUGGUUUAGCCUUUCUGUAGGAAUAUAGCACGGCCCAGCUCUGCUCUGGGGACCAUCUGCUUCGGUUUUGUUUGUCCAGGUGUGAUGCAUUUUUUUCUCCUUAAUUCCCGCAUUCUCUGUUUACUUUUUGAAAUGAGAGCAUAUAUAGGCUCUUCGCAGAUCCAGAGGAAAGGACAGCGCCUUGGCCGUAGACGGGUGUUCAGGCUACGGUUUAGGCUCAUCAGAAGCUUUACUCAAAACAGCUGGCUGAGCGAGCCCCGCGCUGUCUCCGCUCAAAGGCAAUAUUCGCAGGAGGAAGAAAUCUCAGCGAUUCUCAGGUCCAGGCUUCUCCCGAGUGGGCUUCUGUGGAAACCCCAGCUAUCCACACUUGCGGUCUUUACAGACACCGUGAGAGGCAUGUCCAGAAUUACCCACAUAUUGGCUCCCCUGUCCUCCUGAUUUUCUGCUGAAAUAACCCAACACAUGUAUCUGGAAUGAUUCUAGACCCUUCUAACCCCCCCUCCCCCAGGCUGAGGGACCCCUGGCAUUGAGGUUGCAAGGAUGCAGGUGACUAGCAGAGAAGGUCCACUGCAGGGAGUCAGACUGGGGCCCAGCAGAGGGCACGUCCAGUGCGGCUGCGGGAAGCAGGGUCAGGUCCCAGGGGGCAUCAGGCUUUGUGGAAAGAUUGCUUCCAUCCCACACACCCUCUCCCGUUGUCUUCCUGGACUGCCGAAAAAAAAAAAAAAGUUAAAAUGCAGCUUUAAAAUAUACACCACCAUCACCACCCGCGUUUUUGACUGGAUCGAAACAAAUAACCAGUGACCUAACCGGGUGGCUUUCAAGAUUCUGUUCAACUGAGGGCUUAAUACGUACUGGAUUCUAUUCUAGGGCUAGGGGCAAUGCACCUGCUCUCGCGAGCCCAGUCCAGGAGGGACGACGGGGCUGCCAGAUAAGAUUGCAAGGAUGUUCUCCUACUAAGGAAACAUGCAGAGUUUGUCUGAGAUUCACAGUUAACUGGGUGCCCUGCAUUUCUAUUUGUUAAAUUUGGCAACCCCGAGUAGAGAAGGUGGACAUGAUUAGGGAGAGAAAAGGGCUCUCAGAGCCCAUAGGGAGGGCCCCCAGCCCAAGGCUAAUUGGGAUGUCACAAAGUCGUGGGAUCCUGGGAAAGCGAUCUCCCUUAUAAUUUUUUUAACUUUCUCCUCUCCACUUUGAAUAUGUUAUAUGCAAACAACGUGAUAUUGCAAGGCUAGUCAUGUUCCCUUUUGGCCCGAGGCCACUUUCCAUCCCUCCCUAGCCUGCUGAACCUUUGCGCUCUGGCUUCCAUUGGGUUUGGCCAGUGGGAGGCACCUGCCUCAGUGCCCAGCCCCAGUGCAUGUCCCAUGCGUUGCCAAAUACAUUCCACUGAGAUUUCCCAGUUUACCCAAGCUACCGAUUUCCUGCACAGAACUUGUUGCCUGCCCAAAUUAAUCUGAUGCCUAUAAUCAACAGUACAAAGUGUCGGCGAGGAGGUGGGGGAACCGGAAUUCUCGUAUCUCACGGGUAGGAAUGUGAAUUGGUGCUGCUGCUUAGGAAAACAGCCUGGCUGCUAAACUCAGAGUAACCCUAUGGCCCAGCAAUUCCACUCCCAGGAAGGAAUGAAGUGCUGAAACACGCUACAGCAUGCGUGAAUUUUGAGAACACGCUGAGUGAAAGAAGUCAGACGCGGAAGACCACAUAUUGUCGAAUGCAGUUGAUAUGGAAUGUCCAGGACAGGAGAAUCCAGAGAGACAGAAGCGCUUGUUUUCAAGCCCUUAGGUCUAAGGAUUCCUACAGCCGGGGACCUCACCCCACAUCAUCAUCAGACGAGUGCCAGAGCCCCGCAAAGAAGCUGUAGUUCUUUCCAUGAAAAUAUCUGAAACAACUUUUAUAAAUUUGUUUUUGAAAAUAUGAGGCUGCAAAUAACUAAUUUAUGAUUGGCUAUGACUUUCUCAGCAAUCACCAUGCAAACUUGGGAGUUUGGACAGGGGAGAAAUUAUAUAGCCUACAGGUAGCAUUCCAGUGUGAUGAGUUUUUCUAUUUCUUAAGAUUUUAUUUUUAUGGGAUCUAUACACCCAAUGUGACGUUCACACUCAACCCUGAGAUCAAAAGUUGUCUGCUCUAAGGACUGAACCAGCCAGGUGCCCCUCCAGUGUGAUGAGUUUUU
Molecule: long non-coding RNA, 2419 nt
Organism: Ailuropoda melanoleuca (giant panda)
Lineage: Eukaryota; Metazoa; Chordata; Mammalia; Carnivora; Ursidae
Exons: 4
Source: RefSeq, a predicted model, not a curated record